UGACAUUUGCGCAAUCGGUUUUCUAUCGCUCAUUUGCACGAUCGGUUUUCUAUCGCUCAUUUGCACGAUCGGUUUUCUAUCGCUCAUUUGCACGUCGUGUCACCAUAUGGGACUGAAGAGGUGGUUCCGCCCAGGGAACCAUACAAGCUAGAACAGCCACUGUUCACAAGGCAUAUGAACUGACAGGUUAUAGAGCAAACAACCCAAUUAUCACAACAGAUGUUGGUUCUGUGGAGUUUUAAGAUCAUCAAGGCAGGUGAAAUCAUUUCCCGGGUCAAUGUGAGCCUCUCACCAUAUUCCUUUGAAGUCAACAAUACCGGUGUGAUUUUCGGAUGCGGGAAUAAACAGGAGACAGACAUACAAUUCCCGUCAGUGCACCAGAGAAUUUGGCAGUGCGUCCGACCGGCCUCACAACCACCAACCCCGUGUAAUCACACCAGCCAAGGACCUCCACAUCUGGCUUCUACACCUGCGGGAUAGUCUGAGACCAUCCACCCGGACAGCUGAUGAAACUGAGAAGUAUUUCCAUCUGUAAUAAAGCCCUUUUGUGGUGAAAACUCAUUCUGAUUGUCUGGGCAUGGCUCCCCUGGUGGGUGGGCCUAUGGCCUCCUGGGCCCACCAUGGCUGCAACCCUGCUCAGUCAUGUGAAAGCCAUAGAUGAGGGCCUAAUUCAUUUAGCUAGGACUGCAGUGCAUAAAAUGUAAUGAGUAGUUGACUCAAAGAGAAAGACAAUAAUUGUAUUUUUCCACAUUCACUUUCACUUACUUAGCUAAUGCAGUUAAUUUAGCCUUCUCAACAACCUGACUCAAACAGAGAGGAAAGCUGUUUAUGUUAGCUUGCAGGCUAAGGCACUCCUAACUCUUCCAAGUCAAGGUAAACUUUCGGUUGUAUUAAUUUAUAUUCACCGGGGCCCACUGGUGUAACUGCUAAACUGCUUGCUGAUUGUACACAUGGAUUGGAUUGUGGGUUUAUUAACGCAUUAGUUCUAGUAGCUAUGUUGACUAUGGUGGUAGCCAAUAUGGUGACAAUGAUGUAGGCUUUGUGUAGCGGUUAUGAUAUGAAGGUUUGGC
Molecule: long non-coding RNA, 1070 nt
Organism: Oncorhynchus nerka (sockeye salmon)
Lineage: Eukaryota; Metazoa; Chordata; Actinopteri; Salmoniformes; Salmonidae
Exons: 3
Source: RefSeq, a predicted model, not a curated record